UACGUAGGGGGCUAGCGUUGUCCGGAAUCAUUGGGCGUAAAGAGCGUGUAGGCGGUCCGGUAAGUCCGCUGUGACAGUCGGGGGCUCAACCCUCGAAUGCCGGUGGAUACUGUCGGGCUAGAGUGCGGAAGAGGCGAGUGGAAUUCCUGGUGUAGCGGUGAAAUGCGCAGAUAUCAGGAGGAACACCUAUUGCGAAGGCAGCUCGCUGGGACGUAACUGACGCUGAGACGCGAAAGCGUGGGGAGCAAACAGG
Molecule: ribosomal RNA, 253 nt
Filed under: uncultured bacterium
Lineage: Bacteria
Description: partial 16S ribosomal RNA
Rfam family: Bacterial small subunit ribosomal RNA
Source: RNAcentral